AAAUCUAUGCGCUCAACGUAUAGGCCGCCGAAAAUACUGGGCAGCUAGGGAGUGGGAGAGGUACACGGUACUCAAUAGGAAGGGGUAAAAUCCUUUGAUCUAUUGAUGACCACCUGUGGCGAAGGCGGUGUACCAGAACACGUUCGACGGUGAGGGAUGAAAGCUGGGGGAGCAAACCGGAUUAGAUACCCGGGUAGUCCCAGCUGUAAACGAUGCAGACUCGGUGAUGCAUUGGCUUGUGGCCAAUGCAGUGCCGCAGGGAAGCCGUUAAGUCUGCCGCCUGGGAAGUACGUACGCAAGUAUGAAACUUAAAGGAAUUGGCGGGGGAGCACCACAAGGGGUGAAGCCUGCGGUUCAAUUGGAGUCAACGCCAGAAAUCUUACCUGGGGCGACAGCAGAAUGAAGGUCAAGCUGAAGACUUUACCAGACAAGCUGAGAGGUGGUGCAUGGCCGUCGCCAGCUCGUGCCGUGAGAUGUCCUGUUAAGUCAGGUAACGAGCGAGACCCCUGCGUCUAGUUGCUACCAUUACUCUCUGGAGUAGUGGAGCGAAUUAGACGGACCGCCACAGUUAAUGUGGAGGAAGGAAGGGGCCACGGCAGGUCAGUAUGCCCCGAAACCCUAGGGCUACACGCGGGCUGCAAUGGUAUUGACAAUGUGUUCCGAAUCCGAAAGGAGGAGGCAAUCAUCAAACGAUACCUCAGUUAUGACUGAGGGCUGUAACUCGCCCUCACGAAUAUGGAAUCCCUAGUAACUGCGCGUCACUACCGCGCGGUGAAUACGUCCCUGCUCCUUGCACACACCGCCCGUCGUUUCAUCGAAGUUGGCCUUUAGUGAGGUAGUGUCUUGUUGGCAUUAUCGAGCUUGAGGUCAGUGACGAGGGAAAAGUCGUAACAAGGUA
Molecule: ribosomal RNA, 898 nt
Filed under: uncultured archaeon
Lineage: Archaea
Description: bacterial SSU rRNA
Rfam family: Archaeal small subunit ribosomal RNA
Source: RNAcentral